AGGUUAAGACACCGCCCUUUCACGGCGGUAACAGGGGUUCAAUUCCCCUACGAGUCA
RNAcentral lists this transfer RNA (57 nucleotides) under Clostridioides difficile P21. RNAcentral's name for it is "partial tRNA-Glu". It matches the Rfam family "tRNA", at positions 16 to 71 of the family's 71-position model. Rfam says of the family: Transfer RNA (tRNA) molecules are approximately 80 nucleotides in length. Their secondary structure includes four short double-helical elements and three loops (D, anti-codon, and T loops). Further hydrogen bonds mediate the characteristic L-shaped molecular structure. tRNAs have two regions of fundamental functional importance: the anti-codon, which is responsible for specific mRNA codon recognition, and the 3' end, to which the tRNAs corresponding amino acid is attached (by aminoacyl-tRNA synthetases). tRNAs cope with the degeneracy of the genetic code in two manners: having more than one tRNA (with a specific anti-codon) for a particular amino acid; and 'wobble' base-pairing, i.e. permitting non-standard base-pairing at the 3rd anti-codon position. Lineage: Bacteria; Bacillati; Bacillota; Clostridia; Peptostreptococcales; Peptostreptococcaceae. The record is from RNAcentral.